This 29-nucleotide non-coding RNA is filed under the name Rattus norvegicus (Norway rat). The record is from RNAcentral. Lineage: Eukaryota; Metazoa; Chordata; Mammalia; Rodentia; Muridae.
UGCACUCUAUGGAAGGAUCUAACUGAAGU